UCAGGCCUAACACAUGCAAGUCGAACGGUAGAGGGGGCAACCCCUUGAGAGUGGCGAACGGGUGAGUAAUGCAUCGGAACGUGCCCAGUCGUGGGGGAUAGCCCGGGGAAACCCGGAUUAAUACCGCAUACGACCUGAGGGUGAAAGCGGGGACCAGUAAUGGCCUCGCGCGAUUGGAGCGGCCGAUGUCGGAUUAGGUAGUUGGUGGGGUAAAGGCCUACCAAGCCUGCGAUCCGUAGCUGGUCUGAGAGGACGACCAGCCACACUGGGACUGAGACAGGGCCCAGACUCCUACGGGAGGCAGCAGUGGGGAAUUUUGGACAAUGGGGGCAACCCUGAUCCAGCCAUGCCGCGUGCGGGAAGAAGGCCUUCGGGUUGUAAACAAAGGUGUCAGGGAAGAAAUGUCCUGGGCUAAUACCCGGGGGGAUGAC
RNAcentral lists this ribosomal RNA (431 nucleotides) under uncultured bacterium. RNAcentral describes it as "bacterial SSU rRNA". It matches the Rfam family "Bacterial small subunit ribosomal RNA", at positions 42 to 473 of the family's 1533-position model. The record is from RNAcentral.